Molecule: ribosomal RNA, 537 nt
Filed under: uncultured bacterium
Lineage: Bacteria
Description: bacterial SSU rRNA
Rfam family: Bacterial small subunit ribosomal RNA
Source: RNAcentral
ACGGGUGAGUAACGCGUGGGAAUCUACCUAGUUCUACGGAACAACAGUUGGAAACGACUGCUAAUACCGUAUACGCCCUACGGGGGAAAGAUUUAUCGGAAUUAGAUGAGCCCGCGUAAGAUUAGCUAGUUGGUGGGGUAAUGGCCCACCAAGGCGACGAUCUUUAGCUGGUCUGAGAGGAUGAUCAGCCACACUGGGACUGAGACACGGCCCAGACUCCUACGGGAGGCAGCAGUGGGGAAUAUUGGACAAUGGGCGCAAGCCUGAUCCAGCCAUGCCGCGUGAGUGAUGAAGGCCUUAGGGUUGUAAAGCUCUUUCACCGAUGAAGAUAAUGACGGUAGUCGGAGAAGAAGCCCCGGCUAACUUCGUGCCAGCAGCCGCGGUAAUACGAAGGGGGCUAGCGUUGUUCGGAUUUACUGGGCGUAAAGCGCACGUAGGCGGUUUGUUAAGUCAGAGGUGAAAUCCCGGAGCUCAACUCCGGAACUGCCUUUGAUACUGGCAAGCUAGAGUCCGGAAGAGGUAAGUGGAACUCCUAGU